Molecule: ribosomal RNA, 2209 nt
Filed under: Triticum aestivum (bread wheat)
Lineage: Eukaryota; Viridiplantae; Streptophyta; Magnoliopsida; Poales; Poaceae
Description: partial small subunit ribosomal RNA
Source: RNAcentral
UACGCUUUAUACGUUACUCAAAAAAAAAAAAACGCUUUAUACAUGUACCACGGUCCAGAAAUUUUUCGGCCACAACACGCAACAGCGGGCUGCUUUUGCGUUUCCGAGUGCAGAAAACAGAGAGGAGGGCGGCGGCUGGAGAAGGAGAUCGAGAGGACGGCGAUGCUUAGCAGCGCCGGUGGCGAUUACCCAUGGAUCCGGUGUGCAGGUUGCCAAUCUUCAUCGAUGGGGUUGUCCCCGCUGGCUCGGAUCUGAACGACGGGAGCGAGGCCGGUAGUGGCGGUCGAGUAGGCGUGCGGGAGUCGUCUGUGGCUGCGUACUUCAAUGGCGGCGACCCCGCCCGGGACGAUGCGAACAGUCUAGUCAGUCAGGCGAGUCUGCGAUCAAACCAUAUCCGCGACCACCCGGCUGAAUCUUCAGCGUGUUUGGUUGGAGAGUUAGCGUGGUUCCGAGCGCCAUGCGCUAGCAGAAUGGGUGCUCUGGAGAAAAUGAUAAGAGGAUUUGCAGAGAGGGAUGGCGAAGAAGUGAUCAAGCUGGAGCUGGGCAACACCUUCAACUCACUGACAAAGGCAUACCACUGCUACAAUUUGUAUUCCUGGGAGCACAGAUUGAUACUCACUCCGUCCCAAAAUGUAAGAUCAUUUUUUAUCAUUUUUGUCAUAUGAUAGUGUAAAAGUGUUAAAAAUGAUCUUACAUUUUGGGAUGGAUGGAGUAUGAGAUAUGGAAAGAGCCGGCUCAAUCCUGAGAAGUGGAAGACAAUGCAGGAAAUUGUUUGUGGACGCUCGGGGAAACCUUUGCAUGAGAACAGGUGCGAGUGUACAUGAGGUUGUAGUUUGAUCGCCAGUCCGAUGAGAGCUACGAGGAGAAAAGAACCAAGAUUGGUGGCGACGUCCUCAAAACGAACUCGUCAAUUGAAAUACAUGCCAGCAAGGUGUACACUCGGGCGAGCAAUUCGGCCAAAUUUUGUACUAGUCGGGUGGGUAUCGGGUCGAACAGGCUGAGAACAAUGAAUUAUACAGGGCAACACACACUCGGCCUGAAAAGAAGGGAGAAAUGGAGCAGGGUUGUUUUCCUGGUGAAGAUGAUUGACAAUUGAGCAGAAUCUGAAUGUGAAUGUGAUUAUGGACUAUCGUGGCAUGACAGAGAUACCAGAAAGGCACAUUGUAAAAAGGUGGACAAGGGAUGUGAGGGAUGUUUUGCCAGAUCACCUUCAGCAUUACCAGGGAGACCAGCUCUGUGCCACCGCGCUAACAUUCAGGCAUACAAGAAUGUACGUCAAGGCACUAGAGCUGGUUAAGCUCGAAGAUGUGAGUGUGGAAGCGUAUGAAAGACUGAUGAGUCUGUUCGAGCAAGCCAUUGUUGUGAUGACGCCAUUUGAGCAUGCCAGGGAUGGGCUUGGGCUCGAGGACCGUGCUACCAAUAAGCAAGCCACCAAGGUAGCUGAGCAGGCAGUAACUGUUGACAGCGCACACGACAGGAUGUCAGGGCACAGCAACCUCCUUCGUGAUUGGGAGCACCCCUGAAGAUGAGGACUGCAGGGAGGCCUAUGAACACGAGGGACAAGACGCUGUAUGAAGGCCUGAGCAAAGAGGAGUAGAUUCUGUAGCAUCUGCAAAACGCAGGGUCGUAAGAGAACAACAUGCCCGCAGCAAGGAGACGCUCCUAAAACGCAGAUGAAGGAAGCAAAGUGCAGCAACCUAUUGAUACGGACGAUGGGAUGAGAGGUAAUCGGACAUGACAGAGGUAAUCGGAUAUAUCGACAGAAUGAAAAAUCGGCGAGCCGUGCCAUGCCAACCGAACCAACUGAAAAACCAGAGUUUGGGGAGACAAGUACCCGGUUUAAUUAUUAUUAUUAGGGGAGAUAUAAGUGCCCCUAUGCUUUAAUACAUGUUCAACACAACUUGGCAGGGUAACAUCCCAGAAGAAUAUUUAUUCAGCAUGGAGUUAGGAACCAAGUCAACUCCAUGUGUUGUAGCUUUUUAUUUAUUCCUUAUUAGGCUUCAGAUCCAGAGGAGGGGUAGCACUCCAUCACUGCACUCCAUCUUGCCCUUCUCCACACCUGUAGUUCAACAAAAGCACAUUCAGCUCAAGGCUGCUGUCAUGGAUCUAAAACCCCAGGAAAGUUCAUGGUACUAAUGGUGGGCAGAGUAUCCAAUUCAGCAUUGUAAAUUGCAUGGUAUGAAUAAAACGAAAGAAAAAUACUUGCCUG